AAUGAACGCUGGCGGAAUGCUUUACACACGCAAGUCGAACGGCAGCACGGACUUCGGUCUGGUGGCGAGUGGCGAACGGGUGAGUAAUGUAUCGGAACGUGCUCAGUCGUGGGGGAUAACGUAGUGAAAAUUACGCUAAUACCGCAUACGAUCUAUGGAUGAAAGCGGGGGAUCGCAAGACCUCGCGCGAUUGGAGCGGCCGAUAUCAGAUUAGGUAGUUGGUGGGGUAAAGGCCCACCAAGCCAACGAUCUGUAGCUGGUCUGAGAGGACGACCAGCCACACUGGAACUGAGACACGGUCCAGACUCCUACGGGAGGCAGCAGUGGGGAAUUUUGGACAAUGGGCGAAAGCCUGAUCCAGCCAUUCCGCGUGCAGGAUGAAGGCCCUCGGGUUGUAAACUGCUUUUGUACAGAACGAAAAGGUUUCUACUAAUACUAGGAGCUCAUGACGGUACUGUAAGAAUAAGCACCGGCUAACUACGUGCCAGCCGCCGCGGUAA
This 500-nucleotide ribosomal RNA is filed under the name uncultured bacterium. RNAcentral's name for it is "partial 16S ribosomal RNA". It matches the Rfam family "Bacterial small subunit ribosomal RNA", at positions 29 to 523 of the family's 1533-position model. The record is from RNAcentral.